CAGGUGGACACAGGGAUGGACAGAUGGACACGGGGAUGGACAGAUGGACACGGGGAUCGACAGAUGGACACAGGGAUGGACAGAUGGACACGGGGAUGGACAGAUGGACACGAGGAUGGACAGAUGGACACAGGGAUGGACAGAUGUACACGGGGAU
This is a long non-coding RNA of Oenanthe melanoleuca, 157 nucleotides long. RefSeq lists it as uncharacterized. The transcript has 3 exons. Lineage: Eukaryota; Metazoa; Chordata; Aves; Passeriformes; Muscicapidae. The record is from RefSeq and is a predicted model, not a curated record.